Molecule: ribosomal RNA, 508 nt
Filed under: uncultured bacterium
Lineage: Bacteria
Description: partial 16S ribosomal RNA
Rfam family: Bacterial small subunit ribosomal RNA
Source: RNAcentral
GACGAACGCUGGCGGCGUGCCUAAUACAUGCAAGUCGAACGCUUCUUUCCUCCCGAGUGCUUGCACUCAAUUGGAAAGAGGAGUGGCGGACGGGUGAGUAACACGUGGGUAACCUACCCAUCAGAGGGGGAUAACACUUGGAAACAGGUGCUAAUACCGCAUAACAGUUUAUGCCGCAUGGCAUAGGAGUGAAAGGCGCUUUCGGGUGUCGCUGAUGGAAGGACCCGCGGUGCAUUAGCUAGUUGGUGAGGUAACGGCUCACCAAGGCCACGAUGCAUAGCCGACCUGAGAGGGUGAUCGGCCACACUGGGACUGAGACACGGCCCAGACUCCUACGGGAGGCAGCAGUAGGGAAUCUUCGGCAAUGGACGAAAGUCUGACCGAGCAACGCCGCGUGAGUGAAGAAGGUUUUCGGAUCGUAAAACUCUGUUGUUAGAGAAGAACAAGGACGUUAGUAACUGAACGUCCCCUGACGGUAUCUAACCAGAAAGCCACGGCUAACUACGUG